UACGUAGGUCCCGAGCGUUGUCCGGAUUUAUUGGGCGUAAGGCGAGCGCAGGUGGUUUAUUAAGUCUGGUGUAAAAGGCAGUGGCUCAACCAUUGUAUGCAUUGGAAACUGGUAGACUUGAGUUCAGGAGAGGAGAGUGGAAUUCCAUGUGUAGCGGUGAAAUGCGUAGAUAUAUGGAGGAACACCGGUGGCGAAAGCGGCUCUCUGGCCUGUAACUGACACUGAGGCUCGAAAGCGUGGGGAGCAAACAGG
RNAcentral lists this ribosomal RNA (252 nucleotides) under uncultured bacterium. Its description in RNAcentral is "partial 16S ribosomal RNA". It matches the Rfam family "Bacterial small subunit ribosomal RNA", at positions 524 to 776 of the family's 1533-position model. The record is from RNAcentral.